CCUCGCCUGCCUUCUCGCGCUGUUUCUAGCUCUCGCCAUCCCUCGGCGUACUCUUCCUCUCCUCCGAGUCAGAGUACCCUGGAGGGAUAAUGCUCUGCAGAUGAGGUUCUUGCUAUGUUGCCUAGGCUGGUCUUGAACUUCUGGCCUCAAGAAAUCCUCCUCCUGAUCCUCCUACCUCAGCCUUCCAAAGUGUUGGGAUUACAGCACUGGCUAGAACUUCCAUCCCUGUGGUGAAUAAGAGUGAUGAAAGUGGACACCAUCGUAUUAUUGAAUUGAAGGGGUUCUGGGAAGAUAGUGGUGACUCAGAUACAUGGUUCCAGACCUCAAAAAGCUGAGGAUAUUGCAGGGUAUGCAGAUGUAGAUGGAUAACAUGACCACAAGAGUUAGGCCCCGAAGCAGAUGAUUGCCUCUGGCACCCGCCGUAUGCAAUUCGAGGUGAAAUUUCCAAGAGCCAAAUGAAAUAAUUGCAACAGGCCUUCAUGGGGCUUUGAAUUCAGCCUCAAACAUUGUGAUAAUCCGAUCCUGACACUUGCCCUCCCCUCAUUCACUCUUUU
RNAcentral lists this long non-coding RNA (554 nucleotides) under Homo sapiens (human). RNAcentral describes it as "HSALNT0069649". The record is from RNAcentral. Lineage: Eukaryota; Metazoa; Chordata; Mammalia; Primates; Hominidae.